Molecule: ribosomal RNA, 1338 nt
Filed under: metagenome
Description: bacterial LSU rRNA
Rfam family: Bacterial large subunit ribosomal RNA
Source: RNAcentral
UAACAGAACUGUGGGGACACAGGCAGAGAGCGUGAGCCGGGAAUGGAAAGACCGGUACAAGCGAGGUAGGAGUCUGGUUGGCAAAUCCGCCAGGCAAUCCGAAGACGUGAUGUGGACUGAAAAUAAGUAGGGAAGCACGUGAGCUGACUGUCAAGAAAAGCCGCUAUUGUUGCAGGAUACCCGUACCGUAAACCGACACAGGUGGAUGAGGAGAGAAUCCUAAGGCCGACGGGAGAAGCAUUGUUAAGGAACUCGGCAAAAUGACUCCGUAACUUCGGGAGAAGGAGUGCCAGUAAGAUGGCCGCAGAGAAUUGGCCCAAGCAACUGUUUAGCAAAAACACAGGUCUAUGCAAAACCGAAAGGUGAGGUAUAUGGGCUGACGCCUGCCCGGUGCUGGAAGGUUAAGGGGAGAGGUUAGCGCAAGCGAAGCUUUGAACUUAAGCCCCAGUAAACGGCGGCCGUAACUAUAACGGUCCUAAGGUAGCGAAAUUCCUUGUCGGGUAAGUUCCGACCCGCACGAAAGGCGUAAUGAUUUGGGCACUGUCUCAACAAUGCACCCGGUGAAAUUGAAAUACCAGUGAAGAUGCUGGUUACCUGCGCCAGGACGGAAAACCCCAUGGAGCUUUACUCCAGCUUGAUACUGGGAUUCGGUAUUGCAUGUACAGGAUAGGUGGGAGGCUAAGAAAUGGUAACGCCAGUUGCCAUGGAGCCACUGUUGGGAUACCACCCUUGCAGUACUGGGUUUCUAACCAGCAGCCGUGAUCCGGCUGGGGGACAAUGUCAGGUGGGGAGUUUGACUGGGGCGGUCGCCUCCGAAAGGGUAUCGGAGGCGCUCAAAGGUUCCCUCAGAAUGGUUGGAAACCAUUCGAAGAGUGCAAAGGCAGAAGGGAGCUUGACUGCGACACCGACGGGUGGAGCAGGUACGAAAGUAGGACUUAGUGAUCCGGUGGUAUAAAGUGGGAUUGCCAUCGCUCAACGGAUAAAAGCUACCCUGGGAUAACAGGCUUAUCACUCCCAAGAGUUCACAUCGACGGAGUGGUUUGGCACCUCGAUGUCGGCUCAUCGCAUCCUGGGGCUGAAGUAGGUCCCAAGGGUUGGGCUGUUCGCCCAUUAAAGCGGUACGCGAGCUGGGUUCAGAACGUCGUGAGACAGUUCGGUCCCUAUCCGGCGUGGGCGUAAGAUAUUUGAGAGGAGCUGUCCUUAGUACGAGAGGACCGGGAUGGACUGGCCGCUGGUGUAUCUGUUGUCUUACCAAAGGCAUAGCAGAGUAGCCAAGCCGGGAAGGGAUAAACGCUGAAGGCAUCUAAGCGUGAAGCCCCCCUCAAGUUGAGAUAUCUC